CCUACGGGUGGCAGCAGUGAGGAAUAUUGGUCAAUGGACGGAAGUCUGAACCAGCCAAGUCGCGUGAAGGAUGACUGCUCUAUGGGUUGUAAACUUCUUUUAUAUUAGAAUAAACUAUUCCACGUGUGGGAGUUUGAAAGUCUAAUAUGAAUAAGGCUCGGCUAACUCCGUGCCAGCAGCCGCGGUAAUACGGAGAAUCCAAGCGUUAUCCGGAUUUAUUGGGGUUAAAGGGUGCGUAGGCGGUUUGAUAAGUUAGUGGUGAAAUGUCGGGGCUCAACAGUGGAAUUGCCGCUGAUACUGUUGAUCUAGAGAAUAGUUGCGGUAGGCGGAAUGUAUGGUGUAGCGGUGAAAUGCUUAGAUAUCACACAGAACACCGAUUGCGAAGGCAGCUUACCAAACUAUAACUGACGUUGAGGCACGAAAGCGUGGGUAUCAAACAGGAUUAGAUACCCUAGUAGUC
RNAcentral lists this ribosomal RNA (460 nucleotides) under uncultured bacterium. Its description in RNAcentral is "partial 16S ribosomal RNA". It matches the Rfam family "Bacterial small subunit ribosomal RNA", at positions 338 to 795 of the family's 1533-position model. The record is from RNAcentral.